GGCUAGGUAGCUCAGCUGGUUAGAGCGCUGGUCUCAUAAGCCGGAGGUCGAGGGUUCGAGUCCCUCUCUCGCCACCA
This 77-nucleotide transfer RNA is filed under the name Gammaproteobacteria bacterium. Its description in RNAcentral is "tRNA-Met". It matches the Rfam family "tRNA". Rfam says of the family: Transfer RNA (tRNA) molecules are approximately 80 nucleotides in length. RNAcentral also lists the same sequence under 4 other names. Lineage: Bacteria; Pseudomonadati; Pseudomonadota; Gammaproteobacteria. The record is from RNAcentral.